CGGGACGGGGUGAGUAAUGUCUGGGAAACUGCCCGAUGGAGGGGGAUAACUACUGGAAACGGUAGCUAAUACCGCAUAACGUCGCAAGACCAAAGAGGGGGACCUUCGGGCCUCUUGCCAUCGGAUGUGCCCAGAUGGGAUUAGCUAGUAGGUGGGGUAACGGCUCACCUAGGCGACGAUCCCUAGCUGGUCUGAGAGGAUGACCAGCCACACUGGAACUGAGACACGGUCCAG
Molecule: ribosomal RNA, 234 nt
Filed under: uncultured bacterium
Lineage: Bacteria
Description: partial 16S ribosomal RNA
Rfam family: Bacterial small subunit ribosomal RNA
Source: RNAcentral